This is a long non-coding RNA of Manis pentadactyla (Chinese pangolin), 1376 nucleotides long. RefSeq lists it as uncharacterized. The transcript has 4 exons. Lineage: Eukaryota; Metazoa; Chordata; Mammalia; Pholidota; Manidae. The record is from RefSeq and is a predicted model, not a curated record.
ACCCUCCGCUAAAAGGCCAUGCCAGGCUUGUUCUAAACCAAUUCUUGAGUUAGCAGCUGUUCUUCGAAAUGUAGUCAUUUACUCUUGAGGUCAAUGUGAAACCUCUAGCAGGUGCGUGAGCUUUUGACUAGUUGAGGCCUCUAGUUUCUCUUGGGGUUUCCUGGGUAGGGUGGAACAUUUUCAGUAGUGUUAUCUUGGUCUUUCCUCCAGCUAAAGAUGUAAACCAUUGGCCUGAAAGAGCCCGUGGGUGUGGUUUGGGCUGGCUUUGCUCCUGGGGUCCUCGGCGAUGUGGGGGCAGCCACAGAGGCACUCAGGGCCUGCUGGGAGGGUGGGGGCCCUGCUUUAGCUCUGGCCUGACAGGAAGGAAAGAGAAAUACGUGUGUUCUAACACAAAGAAAAACUGACUUCCUUCUCUCCAGAACAGGCUCCCUGCUCUCUUCUCUUGCAGAAAAGAUACCUACCUGAAUAAGAAAGAACAAACAGAACCAGCAGCGACCUGCAGUCACGUCUCAGGGCGAGAGUGCCUCCCUUCUCUCCUGUCUCAGCAGAGUGAGGCGGGAAGCACGACUUCCUGUGACCUGAUGACCAGCUGCCCAGAGGGACCCAGAGCCUCAGAGACCUGAGACCUGCUAGUUCCAUCUGUUCAUCCAGAAACUGGGGACCGAGGAGGGUAGAGACUUUGCCUGGUGACGCAGUGAGUUACCAGCCCCAAGGCUAGAGAACCAAGUCCUUGUCACUUUGUCAUUUUCUCGCUGUCUAGAUCAGAAGCCUGUGAACACUUCCCUGGAAACUAGGGGCUGAGAGUGCUCCUUUUCAGCACUGGGUUUUUCUACUCCUCACGCAGCCUCGGCAGUUUGGGUAAGCAAUGUAUUUUAACUUUGUUUUACAGUAGAGAAACUGACACAUAUAGAAUCCCCUGAGCCGCGGGUCCUUAGCAUACAGGUCCAUGAACUUGGAUGUGAAAAAAAUCACAUCUUUGUUUUCAUUAAUCUCUAUCAAAAAUUUAGCAUUUCCUUCAAUUAUGAAUAUAGGCAUCAAACCACAGUAGAACUAGCAGGAUUUGUGACUGUCCCCAGUAGAAGUCACAGAUGUUUCACGCCCUAUUGCAUGUUACAGGUACCUCAAAACAUUGUUUAUAAUUGUCACUUCUUGAAAUUAUGGUGGCUAUUAGAUCACUGCUACAUCAGUGAACAUAUACAUCAAUGCAUCAGUGAACACAUGUAUUACUAUACUUUAAAAAAUAUUUCAGUGUAAUCGAUUUCCUUUGUAACCCAACGUAUUUUGUUUUAUGGAUUUCAAAAAGAGGCAUUACCAGACUACCAGAGAUUAAGAAAAAAAAGUCAAGAGUCUCUGUUUAUACAUGGAUGUUUAUUGCC